GACGAACGCUGGCGGCGUGCUUAACACAUGCAAGUCGAGCGGUAAGGCCCUUUUGGGGGUACACGAGCGGCGAACGGGUGAGUAACACGUGGGUGACCUGCCCUCAGCUCUGGGAUAAGCCUGGGAAACUGGGUCUAAUACUGGAUAUGACCUUUCCUCGCAUGGGGGUUGGGUGGAAAGUUUUUCGGCUGGGGAUGGGCCCGCGGCCUAUCAGCUUGUUGGUGGGGUGAUGGCCUACCAAGGCGACGACGGGUAGCCGGCCUGAGAGGGCGACCGGCCACACUGGGACUGAGACACGGCCCAGACUCCUACGGGAGGCAGCAGUGGGGAAUAUUGCGCAAUGGGCGGAAGCCUGACGCAGCGACGCCGCGUGGGGAUGACGGCCU
Molecule: ribosomal RNA, 386 nt
Filed under: uncultured bacterium
Lineage: Bacteria
Description: bacterial SSU rRNA
Rfam family: Bacterial small subunit ribosomal RNA
Source: RNAcentral